RNAcentral lists this ribosomal RNA (574 nucleotides) under uncultured bacterium. Its description in RNAcentral is "bacterial SSU rRNA". It matches the Rfam family "Bacterial small subunit ribosomal RNA", at positions 8 to 556 of the family's 1533-position model. The record is from RNAcentral.
AGAGUUUGAUCAUGGCUCAGAAUGAACGCUGGCGGCGUGCUUAACACAUGCAAGUCGAACGAGAACGGGAUUGCUUGCAAUCCUUAGUAGAGUGGCGCACGGGUGAGUAACACGUAGAUAAUCUACCUUCAAGCCUGGGAUAACUAUUCGAAAGGAUAGCUAAUACCGGAUGAAGUAUGUUGGCAUAAGUUGACAUAUGAAAGGUUGCCUCUUCUUGAAAGCAAUUGUUUGGAGAUGAGUCUGCGGACCAUUAGUUUGUUGGUGGGGUAAAGGCCUACCAAGACUGCGAUGGUUAGCUGGUCUGAGAGGAUGAUCAGCCACACUGGAACUGGAACACGGUCCAGACUCCUACGGGAGGCAGCAGUGAGGAAUUUUGCGCAAUGGGGGAAACCCUGACGCAGCAACGCCGCGUGAGUGAAGAAGGCCCUUGGGUCGUAAAGCUCUGUCGACAGGGAAGAAAUUACUUCAUAUUAAUAGUAUGUUGUAUUGACGGUACCUGUAGAGGAAGCACCGGCUAACUCCGUGCCAGCAGCCGCGGUAAUACGGGGGGUGCAAGCGUUAUUCGGAAUUAUUG